Molecule: ribosomal RNA, 253 nt
Filed under: uncultured Rikenellaceae bacterium
Lineage: Bacteria; Pseudomonadati; Bacteroidota; Bacteroidia; Bacteroidales; Rikenellaceae
Description: partial 16S ribosomal RNA
Rfam family: Bacterial small subunit ribosomal RNA
Source: RNAcentral
UACGUAGGUGGCGAGCGUUAUCCGGAAUGAUUGGGCGUAAAGGGUGCGCAGGCGGUUUUAUAAGUUAGAGGUGAAAUCUCGGGGCUCAACUCCGAAAUUGCCUCUAAUACUGUAGGACUAGAGAGUAGUUGCGGUAGGCGGAAUGUAUGGUGUAGCGGUGAAAUGCUUAGAGAUCAUACAGAACACCGAUUGCGAAGGCAGCUUACCAAGCUACUUCUGACGUUGAGGCACGAAAGCGUGGGGAGCAAACAGG